RNAcentral lists this ribosomal RNA (595 nucleotides) under uncultured bacterium. RNAcentral's name for it is "partial 16S ribosomal RNA". It matches the Rfam family "Bacterial small subunit ribosomal RNA", at positions 355 to 938 of the family's 1533-position model. The record is from RNAcentral.
UGGGGAAUUUUGGACAAUGGGCGAAAGCCUGAUCCAGCAAUGCCGCGUGUGUGAAGAAGGCCUUCGGGUUGUAAAGCACUUUUGUCCGGAAAGAAAUCCUUGGCUCUAAUACAGUCGGGGGAUGACGGUACCGGAAGAAUAAGCACCGGCUAACUACGUGCCAGCAGCCGCGGUAAUACGUAGGGUGCAAGCGUUAAUCGGAAUUACUGGGCGUAAAGCGUGCGCAGGCGGUUUGCUAAGACCGAUGUGAAAUCCCCGGGCUCAACCUGGGAACUGCAUUGGUGACUGGCAGGCUAGAGUAUGGCAGAGGGGGGUAGAAUUCCACGUGUAGCAGUGAAAAUGCGUAGAGAUGUGGAGGAAUACCGAUGGCGAAAGGCAGCCCCCUGGGCCAAAUACUGACGCUCAUGCACGAAAGCGUGGGGAGCAAAACAGGAUUAGAUACCCUGGUAGUCCACGCCCUAAAACGAUGUCAACUAGUUGUUGGGGAUUCAUUUCCUUAGUAACGUAGCUAAACGCGUGAAGUUGACCGCCUGGGGAGUACGGUCGCAAAGAUUAAAAACUCAAAAUGAAUUGACGGGGGUCAUAGCUGUUUCCU